GAUGAAGAACGUAGCGAAAUGCGUUAAGUAAUGUGAAUUGCAGAAUUCAGUGAAUCAUCGAAUCUUUGAACGCACCUUGCACCCUUUGGCAUUCCGAAGGGUAUGCUCGUUUGAGUGUCAUUGUACUCUCACACUCUCCGAUCCUAUGGAUUCGGGGAGCGGUGGACUUGGGUGUUGCUGCCUUUCCUUGUGGCUCACCUCAAAUGUGUCAGUGCACCUCUUGGUUGGACAUAGUACGGCGUGAUAAGUGUCUUCGCCGGCACCUCGCAAGAGGGUGGCCGAUCGGGAGCUCUGUGCUUUCAAACCGUCUUCGGACAAUUUCUGACAACUUGACCUCAAAUCGAGUAGGACUACCCGCUGAACUUAAGCAUAUCAAUAAGCGGAGGA
This 387-nucleotide unclassified non-coding RNA is filed under the name soil metagenome. Its description in RNAcentral is "partial contains 5.8S ribosomal RNA, internal transcribed spacer 2, and large subunit ribosomal RNA". The stretch from base 1 to 120 matches the Rfam family "5.8S ribosomal RNA", at positions 35 to 154 of the family's 154-position model. The record is from RNAcentral.